CCUAAGACAUGCAAGUCGUACGAAGCGGCCCAAUGAUUUAUUUAGAACACUGAGAGCUUGCUCAAAGUGUGGAAGAAUAAUGAUUUGGAUUUUCCGCUUAGUGGCAAACGGGUGAGUAACACGUGGGUUACCUACCUCCUAGAUGGGGAUACCAAUUGGAAACGAUUGUUAAUACCGAAUGUGAUCUAUGGAUUAAAGAAGCCUUUAAAGCUUCGCUAGGAGAUGGGCCUGCGGUGCAUUAGAUAGUUGGUGGGGUAAUGGCCUACCAAGUCGACGAUGCAUAGCUGAACUGAGAGGUUGAUCGGCCACAUUGGGACUGAGACACGGCCCAAACUCCUACGGGAGACAGCAGUUAGGAAUAUUCGUCAAUGGGGGAAACCCUGAACGAGCAAUGCCGCGUGAACGAUGACGGUCCUCUGGAUUGUAAAGUUCUGUUGUUUGGAAAGAAUUGUACUAAUAGGAAAUGAUUAGUGCUUGACGGUACCAUUCAAGAAAGCCACGGCUAACUACGUG
RNAcentral lists this ribosomal RNA (513 nucleotides) under uncultured bacterium. RNAcentral describes it as "bacterial SSU rRNA". It matches the Rfam family "Bacterial small subunit ribosomal RNA", at positions 47 to 507 of the family's 1533-position model. The record is from RNAcentral.